ACGAACGUUGGCGGCGUGCUUCAUACAUGCCAGUCACCUGCAGCAGUGGUAGCAAUAUCGCUGUGGAGGUGGCGCACGGGUGAGUAACACGUAGGUAAUCUGCCUUCAGGUCUGGCAUAACUCCGGGAAACCGGGGCUAAUAGCAGAUGAUGCAGCGGCUCGACAUCGAGACAGUUGUUAAAGCUAUGGCGCCUGCAGAUGAGCCUGCGUCUGAUUAGCUAGUUGGCGGGGUAACGGCCCACCAAGGCAACGAUCAGUAGCUGGUCUGAGAGGAUGAUCAGCCACACUGGAACUGAGACACGGUCCAGACUCCUACGGGAGGCAGCAGUAAGGAAUAUUGCGCAAUGGGAGGAAUCCUGAAGCAGCAACGCCGCGGGAGGGACGAAGGGCUUUGGCUUGUAAACCUCUGUAGUGAGAGAAAAAAAUCCCAAUCUUUGGGACAUGAUGGUAUCUCAAAAGUAAGCCCCGGCUAACUACGUG
RNAcentral lists this ribosomal RNA (480 nucleotides) under uncultured bacterium. Its description in RNAcentral is "partial 16S ribosomal RNA". It matches the Rfam family "Bacterial small subunit ribosomal RNA", at positions 29 to 507 of the family's 1533-position model. The record is from RNAcentral.